AUCUGUUAAUCCCAAACUCCUAAUUUAUCCCCCCUCCCAACUUUGUCCUUUAGUAACCAUAGGUUUUCUUUUAUGUCUGUGUGUCUCCAACUUUCAUUUUUUUCAGUUCAGUUCAGUUCAGUCACUCAGUCGUGUCCAACUCUUUGAGACCCCAUGGACUGCAGCACGCCAGGCCUCCCUGUCCAUCACCAACUCCCAGAGCCUGCUCAAACUCAUGUCCAUUGAGCUGGUGAUGCCAUCCAACCAUCUCAUCUGUCGUCCCCUUCUCCUGCCUUCAGUCUUUCCCAGCAUCAUGGUCUUUUCUGGUCAGCACGAGUUUUGCAAUGGGUAACAGGAAUCCUGACGGACAGUGGUUUAAACCAUUAAGGAGAUUUUCAUUUUACUUCAUGAAAAGCCCGUCAGCUGGCAGUCCCUGCUUUAGUUUGGAAGCUUACCAGCAUCAUCCAGGAUCCAGGGACUUUCCACCCUGUUUUUCCACUUGGCCCUCAGGGUCAGGGUCAUAAGACGGUUUCUACCAAGGAGGCGGAGGCGAGCAUCGCAGCCCCUCCCAGCCUGUCACGAGAAGGAAGGUGGCGUGGGGUGGGGGUGGAGAGGGGAAACGGACACUUUUUCUCCUCAGACACGUCUCUCUUGUCAGAAGGCAAAGUCUUUCUCAGAAGCCCCAGAAGACAUCCUCUGGUCCUGGCCAGAACUGGUCAACUGGCCACGUCUGCCUGCGAGAAGACCGGGUGUCACUGUUUUAUAAAGACCACAGUGCCCACAACUGACGGGGUUCUUAGCAGGGGCACCUGCUCCUCUGGAGGUACUGGAAACAGAGAAGGGGCACUUUUGGUCGUCACAGAAAAAAAAAGAGGUGCUACUGGCAUGUUGUGGAUUAGUUUAAGGAUGCUAAAUGUUCUAAAAUGCACAGAACCCUUCUACACACAAAACAAGAUUUGUCUUACUCAAAAUACCAAGAGCAGUGCUAUUAAGAAACACUGGGCUCAAACCAACGAUCAUUCACCCCAUGGGCUGAAGGUAUCACGACUCGAACACAAUCUGGGGGCCAAGAGCAAGAAGGAGAACACGGCUCCCAGCAGAGGUGCCCUGGUACCCCGGUGGGGGUCGGGAGGAGGGUGCGUAAUCGUGCUGGCACGUUGAGUCCUUUUCAGAAAGUACUGUUACUUACAACGAAUGGAGAGCAAGACAGGGAAAUCAACUCCAAGGGCUGCCUUUAUUUUUCCUAAUGAAGAGAUUUCCCCGUGAUUGGACAAGCCUGUUUCCAGGAACAAGUGAGUCUGAGUUCCCCCCGCCUCUACUAUCUCUGCUCCUUGCUCCCACCAAGGAUUGACAAUGACUAAAACCCAACUGUAUAGCCACUAUUUCAAAGAUAAACAUCUCCUUUGAAGACUGUGUACCCAGUUCAAUAGUGGCAGGUAUCUAAUAAAUAUUUCUUGGGUAUAUGACAAAAUAAAGUGAAAGUGUUAGUCGCUCAGUCAUGUCCAAUUCUUUGCGACCCUGUGGACUGUAGCCCACCAGGCCCGUCUGUCCAUGAAAUUCUCCAGCAAGGAUACUGGAGUGGGUUGCCAUUUCUUUCUGCAGGGGAUCUUCCCAACCCAGGGAUCAGAACCUGGACCUCCUGUAUUGCAGGCAGAUUCUUUACCAUCUAAGCCACUAGGGAAGCCCUAUAUGACAAAUAUGUUGAUUCAAAUCAAUACAAGGAAGCAAAUCCCGGAAAAACAUUCCACAUUAUGUUCAAGGAGAUAGAUACGGUGAAAUAGAAUUUGAAAAAUUGUACUAGUAAAGUAAAGUAAUGCUCAAAAUUCUCCAAGCCAGGCUUCAGCAAUAUGUGAACCGUGAACUUCCUGAUGUUCAAGCUGGUUUUAGAAAAGGCAGAGGAACCAGAGAACAAAUUGCCAACAUCCACUGGGUCAUGGAAAAAGCAAGAGAGUUCCAGAAAAACAUCUAUUUCUGCUUCAUUGACUAUGCCAAAGCCUUUGACUGUGUGGAUCACAAUAAACUGUGGAAAAUUCUGAAAGAGAUGGGAAUACCAGAGCACCUGACCUGCCUCUUGAGAAAUCUGUAUGCAGGUCAGGAAGCAACAGUUAGAACUGGACAUGGAACAACAGACUGGUUCCAAAUAGGAAAAGGAGUACGUCAAGGCUGUAUGUUGUCACCCUGCUUAUUUAACUUCUAUGCAGAGUACAUCAUGAGAAAUGCUGUACUGGAA
This is a long non-coding RNA of Bos taurus (domestic cattle), 2209 nucleotides long. NCBI's taxonomy places the organism in Eukaryota, Metazoa, Chordata, Mammalia, Artiodactyla, Bovidae. The record is from Ensembl.